RNAcentral lists this ribosomal RNA (424 nucleotides) under uncultured Prevotella sp. RNAcentral's name for it is "bacterial SSU rRNA". It matches the Rfam family "Bacterial small subunit ribosomal RNA", at positions 355 to 776 of the family's 1533-position model. Lineage: Bacteria; Pseudomonadati; Bacteroidota; Bacteroidia; Bacteroidales; Prevotellaceae. The record is from RNAcentral.
UGAGGAAUAUUGGUCAAUGGGCGAGAGCCUGAACCAGCCAAGUAGCGUGCAGGAUGACGGCCCUAUGGGUUGUAAACUGCUUUUAUGCGGGGAUAAAGUGCGUGACGUGUCAUGCAUUGCAGGUACCGCAUGAAUAAGGACCGGCUAAUUCCGUGCCAGCAGCCGCGGUAAUACGGAAGGUCCGGGCGUUAUCCGGAUUUAUUGGGUUUAAAGGGAGCGUAGGCCGCCAGGUAAGCGUGUUGUGAAAUGUACCGGCUCAACCGGUGAAUUGCAGCGCGAACUGUCUGGCUUGAGUGCACGGUAAGCAGGCGGAAUUCAUGGUGUAGCGGUGAAAUGCUUAGAUAUCAUGAAGAACUCCGAUUGCGAAGGCAGCUUGCUGCAGUGCGACUGACGCUGAUGCUCGAAGGUGCGGGUAUCAAACAGG